Molecule: ribosomal RNA, 253 nt
Filed under: uncultured bacterium
Lineage: Bacteria
Description: partial 16S ribosomal RNA
Rfam family: Bacterial small subunit ribosomal RNA
Source: RNAcentral
GACGAACUGCCCUAACGUUGUUCGGAAUCACUGGGCUUAAAGGGCGCGUAGGCGGUCCGCCAAGUCAGGGGUGAAAUCCUGCAGCUUAACUGUAGAAGUGCCUCUGAUACUGGCGGUCUUGAGGGAAAUAGGGGUGUGCGGAACUUCCAGUGGAGUGGUGAAAUGCGUUGAUAUUGGAAGGAACGCCGGAGGCGAAAGCGGCGCACUGGAUUUCUUCUGACGCUGAGGCGCGAAAGCUAGGGGAGCAAACGGG